This 500-nucleotide ribosomal RNA is filed under the name Escherichia coli. Its description in RNAcentral is "bacterial SSU rRNA". It matches the Rfam family "Bacterial small subunit ribosomal RNA", at positions 8 to 497 of the family's 1533-position model. Lineage: Bacteria; Pseudomonadati; Pseudomonadota; Gammaproteobacteria; Enterobacterales; Enterobacteriaceae. The record is from RNAcentral.
AGAGUUUGAUCCUGGCUCAGAUUGAACGCUGGCGGCAGGCCUAACACAUGCAAGUCGAACGGUAACAGGAAGAAGCUUGCUUCUUUGCUGACGAGUGGCGGACGGGUGAGUAAUGUCUGGGAAACUGCCUGAUGGAGGGGGAUAACUACUGGAAACGGUAGCUAAUACCGCAUAACGUCGCAAGACCAAAGAGGGGGACCUUCGGGCCUCUUGCCAUCGGAUGUGCCCAGAUGGGAUUAGCUAGUAGGUGGGGUAAAGGCUCACCUAGGCGACGAUCCCUAGCUGGUCUGAGAGGAUGACCAGCCACACUGGAACUGAGACACGGUCCAGACUCCUACGGGAGGCAGCAGUGGGGAAUAUUGCACAAUGGGCGCAAGCCUGAUGCAGCCAUGCCGCGUGUAUGAAGAAGGCCUUCGGGUUGUAAAGUACUUUCAGCGGGGAGGAAGGGAGUAAAGUUAAUACCUUUGCUCAUUGACGUUACCCGCAGAAGAAGCACCGGC